GUAUGGAUGAAGAUGUCACUGCUGGUCUUGAGGCCUUUUCCCGUAUUGCUUCAGCAGUUCCUAUAAUUUCCAAUGCGAUAGUUACUGAUAGUAUUUUCGGAGUGCUUACAUCAUCAACAGGCGGUCGACUUCUAUUCUCAGUCUAUGACAAGUACUUGACCUAUUUGGAAAGGGCAAUUAAAAAAUUUAAGAACCAGUCUGAGUCAUCCCAUCUGUCUGCCUUACGUACAACAAGAGGGGAGAAAAUUCUGGAGCUAGAUGGGACAGUGACAACCCAGCCAGUGCUUGAACAUGUGGGAAUUUCAGCAUGGCCUGGUCGGCUAACUUUGACGGAUCAUGCUCUCUACUUUGAGGCACAUCGUGUUGUAUCUU
Molecule: unclassified non-coding RNA, 372 nt
Filed under: Hevea brasiliensis (rubber tree)
Lineage: Eukaryota; Viridiplantae; Streptophyta; Magnoliopsida; Malpighiales; Euphorbiaceae
Source: RNAcentral